This 253-nucleotide ribosomal RNA is filed under the name uncultured bacterium. Its description in RNAcentral is "partial 16S ribosomal RNA". It matches the Rfam family "Bacterial small subunit ribosomal RNA", at positions 524 to 776 of the family's 1533-position model. The record is from RNAcentral.
UACGGAGGGUGCGAGCGUUAAUCGAAAUCACUGGGCGUAAAGCGCGCGUAGGCGGCUUUUCAAGUCAGGGGUGAAAUCCCACGGCCCAACCGUGGAACUGCCUUUGAAACUGUAGAGCUUGAGUGUCGGAGAGGGUGGCGGAAUUCCAGGUGUAGGAGUGAAAUCCGUAGAUAUCUGGAGGAACACCGGUGGCGAAGGCGGCCACCUGGACGACAACUGACGCUGAGGUGCGAAAGCGUGGGUAGCAAACAGG